CAGCCUGUUCGUGACUAUUCCAAAUCCGUUUAAAAAGGGCCGUAUUCGCCCAGCAGGGUUAACGAUCCGCACUAAUACUUCAAUCACUGGCCGCGCAAUCCCCCCAAUGCUCGGCCAGCUGAGGGAGCGAGGAACGUGACCUCAUACUCCUAAUGGUCUUGACCCGGCUCCUCGUGACGCCGG
This 183-nucleotide small RNA is filed under the name Pseudomonas sp. 9Ag. Its description in RNAcentral is "P16". It matches the Rfam family "RgsA sRNA". From Rfam's summary of the family: P16 sRNA appears to be conserved across several Pseudomonas species and Azotobacter vinelandii. In these species it is consistently located downstream of a predicted TatD deoxyribonuclease gene. P16 has a predicted Rho independent terminator at the 3' end but the function of P16 is unknown. The record is from RNAcentral. Lineage: Bacteria; Pseudomonadati; Pseudomonadota; Gammaproteobacteria; Pseudomonadales; Pseudomonadaceae.